GACCUCGGAUCAGGUAGGAAUACCCGCUGAACUUACAACAGGGAUUGCCCCAGUAACGGCGAGUGAAGCGGCAACAGCUCAAAUUUGAAAUCUGGCCCCUCAAGGUCCGAGUUGUAAUUUGUAGAGGAUGCUUUUGGUGAGGUGCCGCCCGAGUUCCCUGGAACGGGACGCCACAGAGGGUGAGAGCCCCGUCUGGCUGGCCACCGAGCCUCUGUAAAGCUCCUUCGACGAGUCGAGUAGUUUGGGAAUGCUGCUCAAAAUGGGAGGUAUAUGUCUUCUAAAGCUAAAUAUUGGCCAGAGACCGAUAGCGCACAAGUAGAGUGAUCGAAAGAUGAAAAGCACCUUGAAAAGAGGGUUAAAUAGUACGUGAAAUUGUUGAAAGGGAAGCGCUUGUGACCAGACUUGGGCGCGGCGGAUCAUCCGGGGUUCUCCCCGGUGCACUUCGCCGUGUUCAGGCCAGCAUCAGUUCGUCGCGGGGGAAAAAGGCUUCGGGAACGUGGCUCCUCCGGGAGUGUUAUAGCCCGUUGCAUAAUACCCUGCGGUGGACUGAGGACCGCGCAUCUGCAAGGAUGCUGGCGUAAUGGUCACCAGCGA
This 594-nucleotide ribosomal RNA is filed under the name Trichoderma piluliferum. RNAcentral's name for it is "eukaryotic LSU rRNA". It matches the Rfam family "Eukaryotic large subunit ribosomal RNA", at positions 1 to 647 of the family's 3401-position model. The record is from RNAcentral. Lineage: Eukaryota; Fungi; Ascomycota; Sordariomycetes; Hypocreales; Hypocreaceae.